UCGGUUGACAGGUGGUGCAUGGUUGUCGUCAGCUCGUGUCGUGAGAUGUUGGGUUAAGUCCCGCAACGAGCGCAACCCCUAUUGUUAGUUGCCAUCAUUCAGUUGGGCACUCUAGCGAGACUGCCGGUAAUAAACCGGAGGAAGGUGGGGAUGACGUCAAAUCAUCAUGCCCCUUAUGACCUGGGCUACACACGUGCUACAAUGGUUGGUACAACAAGUUGCGAGUCGGUGACGGCGAGCUAAUCUCUUAAAGCCAAUCUCAGUUCGGAUUGUAGGCUGCAACUCGCCUACAUGAAGUCGGAAUCGCUAGUAAUCGCGGAUCAGCACGCCGCGGUGAAUACCGGUUCCCGGGCCUU
This 356-nucleotide ribosomal RNA is filed under the name uncultured Streptococcus sp. RNAcentral's name for it is "bacterial SSU rRNA". It matches the Rfam family "Bacterial small subunit ribosomal RNA", at positions 1027 to 1382 of the family's 1533-position model. Lineage: Bacteria; Bacillati; Bacillota; Bacilli; Lactobacillales; Streptococcaceae. The record is from RNAcentral.